Molecule: ribosomal RNA, 301 nt
Filed under: uncultured bacterium
Lineage: Bacteria
Description: partial 16S ribosomal RNA
Rfam family: Bacterial small subunit ribosomal RNA
Source: RNAcentral
CAGUCGCCGCGGUAAUACGGAGGGUGCAAGCGUUAAUCGGAAUUACUGGGCGUAAAGCGUGCGUAGGCGGUUCGUUAAGUCUGUUGUGAAAGCCCCGGGCUCAACCUGGGAAUGGCAAUGGAUACUGGCGAGCUAGAGUGUGUCAGAGGAUGGUGGAAUUCCCGGUGUAGCGGUGAAAUGCGUAGAGAUCUGGAGGAAUACCGGUGGCGAAGGCGGCCCCCUGGACAAAGACUGACGCUCAGGUGCGAAAGCGUGGGGAGCAAACAGGAUUAGAUACCCCAGUAGUCCCUGUCUCUUAUAC